This 254-nucleotide ribosomal RNA is filed under the name uncultured Lachnospiraceae bacterium. Its description in RNAcentral is "partial 16S ribosomal RNA". It matches the Rfam family "Bacterial small subunit ribosomal RNA", at positions 524 to 776 of the family's 1533-position model. The record is from RNAcentral. Lineage: Bacteria; Bacillati; Bacillota; Clostridia; Lachnospirales; Lachnospiraceae.
UACGUAGGGGGCAAGCGUUAUCCGGAUUUACUGGGUGUAAAGGGAGCGUAGACGGCAGGGCAAGUCUGGAGUGAAAGCCCGGGGCCCAACCCCGGGACUGCUUUGGGAACUGCCCCGCUCGAGUGCCGGAGGGGUAGGCGGAAUUCCUAGUGUAGCGGUGAAAUGCGUAGAUAUUAGGAGGAACACCAGUGGCGAAGGCGGCCUGCUGGACGGUGUACUGACGCUGAGGCUCGAAAGCGUGGGGAGCAAACAGG